Pelobates cultripes (western spadefoot toad) is the source of this 93-nucleotide non-coding RNA. The record is from the annotation of a GenBank genome assembly. Lineage: Eukaryota; Metazoa; Chordata; Amphibia; Anura; Pelobatidae.
CUCCAGAUGUUGCUGAACUACAACUCCCAUGAUUCUCAGCUUAUCUAUUUCAUUCAAAGAAUCAUGGGAGUUGUAGUUCAGCAACAUCUGGAG